GAUGAACGCUGGCGGCGUGCCUAAUACAUGCAAGUCGAGCGAACAGACGAGGAGUUUGCUCCUUUGACGUUAGCGGCGGACGGGUGAGUAACACGUGGAUAACCUACCUAUAAGACUGGGAUAACUUCGGGAAACCGGAGCUAAUACCGGAUAACAUGUUGAACCGCAUGGUUCAACAGUGAAAGACGGUCUUUCUGUCACUUAUAGAUGGAUCCGCGCUGCAUUAGCUAGUUGGUAAGGUAACGGCUUACCAAGGCAACGAAGCGUAGCCGACGUGAGAGGAGGAUCGGCAACACUGGAACUGGGACACAGACCAGGCUUCAGCGGGACGCAACAGUAGAAGACCAUACGAAAUGGGCGACAGUCUGACGGAGCAACAGCACGUAAGAGAAAAAAGUCUUCGGGUCGUGAAGCUAUGUUAUCAGGGAAGAAGGAGUGUGUCAGUCCUGAUGGUCAUCUUGACGGUACCUUAUCAGAAAGCCCCGGCUAACUACGUG
Molecule: ribosomal RNA, 497 nt
Filed under: uncultured bacterium
Lineage: Bacteria
Description: partial 16S ribosomal RNA
Rfam family: Bacterial small subunit ribosomal RNA
Source: RNAcentral